AGUGUUCAAUUUUGAACUGUGGUAGGUGAGUAAUGUUCCCUACUAGAAAGGAGAGGGCAAGGCUGGUGCCAGCCGCCGCGGUAAAACCAGCUCUUCAAGUGGUCGGGAUAAUUAUUGGGCUUAAAGUGUCCGUAGCCGGUUUAGUAAGUUCCUGGUAAAAUCGGGUAGCUUAACUAUCUAUAUGCUAGGAAUACUACUAUACUAGAGGGCGGGAGAGGUCUGAGGUACUGCAGGGGUAGGGGUGAAAUCUUAUAAUCCUUGUUGGACCACCAGUGGCGAAGGCGUCAGACUGGAACGCGCCUGACGGUGAGGGACGAAAGCCAGGGGAGCGAACCGGAUUAGAUACCCGGGUAGUCCUGGCCGUAAACGAUGCAUACUAGGUGAUGGCACGGCCAUGAGCCGUGUCAGUGCCGUAGGGAAACCGUUAAGUGU
Molecule: ribosomal RNA, 432 nt
Filed under: uncultured deep-sea archaeon
Lineage: Archaea
Description: bacterial SSU rRNA
Rfam family: Archaeal small subunit ribosomal RNA
Source: RNAcentral